GCCUCCAUAGCUCAGCUGGAUAGAGCAACAGACUUCUAAUCUGUCGGUCGCAGGUUCGAGUCCUGCUGGGGGCGCCA
RNAcentral lists this transfer RNA (77 nucleotides) under Allokutzneria albata. RNAcentral's name for it is "tRNA_Arg_TCT". It matches the Rfam family "tRNA". Rfam says of the family: Transfer RNA (tRNA) molecules are approximately 80 nucleotides in length. Their secondary structure includes four short double-helical elements and three loops (D, anti-codon, and T loops). Further hydrogen bonds mediate the characteristic L-shaped molecular structure. tRNAs have two regions of fundamental functional importance: the anti-codon, which is responsible for specific mRNA codon recognition, and the 3' end, to which the tRNAs corresponding amino acid is attached (by aminoacyl-tRNA synthetases). tRNAs cope with the degeneracy of the genetic code in two manners: having more than one tRNA (with a specific anti-codon) for a particular amino acid; and 'wobble' base-pairing, i.e. permitting non-standard base-pairing at the 3rd anti-codon position. The record is from RNAcentral. Lineage: Bacteria; Bacillati; Actinomycetota; Actinomycetes; Pseudonocardiales; Pseudonocardiaceae.